This 2250-nucleotide long non-coding RNA is filed under the name Homo sapiens (human). RNAcentral describes it as "non-protein coding lnc-ZNF132-1:1". Lineage: Eukaryota; Metazoa; Chordata; Mammalia; Primates; Hominidae. The record is from RNAcentral.
UUACUCAAAACCUAGUGGCUUAAAACAAUAGUCACUAUUUCACAGUCUCUAUAGGUCAGGAACUUUGGUGCAGCUAGCUGACUCCUCUUUAGGGUUUCUCACAAGGCUAACAUCAAGAUGUCAGCUGGGGGUGUAUCAUCUGAAGGCUUGACUAGGGAAGGCUCUGCUUCCAAGCAAACUCAUGUAAUUGGCAGCAUUCAGUUUUUUGUGGGCUGCUGGACUGAGGACCCGUCUGUUGGUCUGAGACCUCCUCCAGUUCUCUGCCACAUGGGCCUCUCCAAAAUGGCAGCUUGUCAAUCAAAGCUUGCAAGCUGAUCAUGCAGUGGAGAAUACCAACAAGUCAGUCAUUUGUAACCUAAUAACAGAAGUGAGACUCCAUCUAAAAUAGAAGAAAAGGUUUCUCUUCAUGGACAUUGUUUGCAUCUACAUGUGACACUUAGGAAUGAUCUGUUUAGUCUCAAUCACUCACUCCUGGAUCUGCCUGUCUCUCUCUGAGAUAACAAAGGCCUUAAUGUUUAGCCACCUGCAUCAGAGUUGGUGAGGUGGUUUGAAACAAUUCAUCCUAAUAUAAAAAGAACAGCUUUUGUAAGGGGGCACUGAGUGUCUCAAACAGCCGCAUGGGCAGGAAGAGUGCUCAGUCCAGUUUUGGUUGAAUUUGUCUUGUUGCCCUAAGGCCUCCUAUGAAAGACUGACAGGCUUGGACUGAAUCUUGUGAUCUGGACACCAAGGGUCACCUGUGGGCCCAGAGCUAGCUCUGAAGAAUGGGGUAGUUUCUUUGAGAACCUCCACAGCAAAAGUUUGGUCCUCUGUUCCCAAUGCAUGUCCCACUUUACCAGCUACAUCCCCCAGUACCUGCCCAUGGCUCAUGACUCAUGAAAUAUAAAACUCAGUAGGCAGGCAUAACUGGUUCAGACCUGCCAGGGCUAUGUGGGAACUAUCAUUGGUACAAAAACUCUAAGUGUGGAGAAGACUGUGGUAGACAAGAGGGGACAUGUCUGUUCUAAACGCACAUCAGAAACUUCCAAUGACUAUGGCCAAGUGAGAUAAGGGUGUACAGAACUUCUCAGGACAUGCAGACCUAUGUGUCACUCAUAACUGAAAUUCAAAUAAAUAUUUUGUGGAUUUCCUGUGGACUCCCUGGGCUGUUCAUCUCAUGGCCAUCACUGCACAGGUAGGCACCUCAAGACAGAGAAGACAGAAAUCAUGGUCUGGAGUGGCUUAUGUGAGUAGCCAGGGUUUCUUGAGAAUCAUAUGGCCGUGGCCUUCAUAAUUCCACUUCUGGUGGCCACCAAGCAGGUCUGUCCCUCUUAAGGGGUGGGGAGACAAUAUGGUGGAGUCAGUACAGAUUUCCCAUAUCUCCUGGUUUUCCAAGAAGAGCCAAAUAUUCAGAUUUCUAUGUGGCAUGUGAUUUUAUAAAUGUUGAAAAUCAUUUCCAAAAACAUUUCAAUGCAAACUCAGUUCACCAAAACUAUAGGUUGGCUUUAGAUAUUUCCCUGGGUCCUCCUGAGGCCUAGGGGAGAAAAGACCGGAAAUCCUCUGACAUGAGAAUCUUUGGCCUGUGGUGUCCAUCCAUACUGUAUGAUGGAUCAGAGGCCACUGCAGCUGCCACGUCUCCUGGAAGCCCCUGAGGGGAUGGACAAUGAUAACCACAUUGUGAGCAGAAGCCACAACAGUUUUGCCGUCAGCAAAGUUUACAGCAGGGCUUCUCAAAUACUCCCCAGCACAGUGAGGUGUCUGGGGGAUACCUACCCUACUCAGGCCUUCCUUCCUGAGUGUAAUGUCUCCAAUAUGGAAGAUGCUAAUGUCUCCAAUAUGUAAGACACAUGUGGGAUCAGAAUUAAAGGUUAGCUGAGCCAUAUGGGGCUCAGCCUUCUAAGCAAAUAAAGUUAGGGUAGACACGUCAUCAGAGCUCAAUCCUCUGUGUGAGUGGCCAAGAUUAGAUCUCAUAAGAUGGUGCUGGGCAUGAUUGUGGCAUGCCUGUUUCCAGCUACUUGAGGCAGGAGGAUCACUGGAUCCCAGGAGUUCAAGACUGCAGUGAGCUAUGUUUGCACCACUGCACUCCAGCCUGGGCAACAUAAUGAGACCUUGUCUCUAAAACAGGAAAAAAAAAAGGCUGGGCGCGGUAGCUCACGCAUGUAAUCCCAGCACUUUGGGAGGCCAAUGCGGGCGGAUCACCUGAGGUUGGGACUUUGAGACCAGCCUGACCAACAUGGAGAAAUCCCAUCUCUACAAGAAAAGAAAGAAAGAAAG